GACGAACGCUGGCGGCGUGCCUAAUACAUGCAAGCAGAACGCUGAAGGAGGAGCUUGCUUCUCUGGAUGAGUUGCGAACGGGUGAGUAACGCGUAGGUAACCUGCCUGGUAGCGGGGGAUAACUAUUGGAAACGAUAGCUAAUACCGCAUAAGAGUAGAUGUUGCAUGACAUUUGCUUAAAAGGUGCAAUUGCAUCACUACCAGAUGGACCUGCGUUGUAUUAGCUAGUUGGUGGGGUAACGGCUCACCAAGGCGACGAUACAUAGCCGACCUGAGAGGGUGAUCGGCCACACUGGGACUGAGACACGGCCCAGACUCCUACGGGAGGCAGCAGUAGGGAAUCUUCGGCAAUGGACGGAAGUCUGACCGAGCAACGCCGCGUGAGUGAAGAAGGUUUUCGGAUCGUAAAGCUCUGUUGUAAGAGAAGAACGAGUGUGAGAGUGGAAAGUUCACACUGUGACGGUAUCUUACCAGAAAGGGACGGCUAACUACGUG
Molecule: ribosomal RNA, 495 nt
Filed under: uncultured bacterium
Lineage: Bacteria
Description: partial 16S ribosomal RNA
Rfam family: Bacterial small subunit ribosomal RNA
Source: RNAcentral